AGAACAUGCCCACGGUGAACUCGCCAGCAUCUCGCCACAUACAUAUAUACAUUCAACUUUUUCUUCAUUGACGCUGUCACAUAUAAGCAGCAUAUACAAAGGAUAAUGAGCAAGAAAUCUCAGUGUAUAACCACUAGACUCAUCCUCAAUGAAGGAAAACAAAACUCAAGCAAAGCUUCAUUGACAGGAGACAGUAAACAAGUUACUCUCGAUCAAAACCUAACCUGCAAUGUUCGCUGUUCUAUUUCGAGAAUAUAAUCAAACCUGUGGUAAGCACUUCAGUCAAAGGAUCUAGCUGCAGCUGUGAAACAACGAUUCACAUCCGAAUUAUCAUCAGGACAAGCUCAAGUCACCAACAGAUCCUCAAUUGGAGGCUAAUUUCAAAUAAAUCACAACAAAAUUUCUCAGCCUCAGCUUUAUACAGAGAACAUCAGAACAUAGAAUUUGAGUCUAUGCUCAUCAUACCUUCGAGUUUCAGUUUUGGAAGAGAGCAAAUCGAAGAACAGAGUUCCUAGAUAUGUCAAUGAUGGAGAUCAAAGAAUAGAGUUCCAAACAGAUUAAUCUACUAAGAGUAAACUCUAUCAAAGGUGUUCACUAAAAUCCCUAAACUAAAUGCAUACUAACCAAAUGAAACUAAGCUAAAUCUAGCACUGGAUUUUUUAUUUUUUUUAUCGGUCGUCUUAUUUCUACUUUAUAAGUCACUGUGUGUACUUUGUGUAGGUUAUGAAACCCUAGUCUUUCUCACAUGUCCCUACCCCUCAGCUCCUGAGAAAAGGAGGGAAUCAAACUCAACACCUCCCCCUUUUCAAGUGAGAAAUGUGUCUACCGGACUAACCCCUAGUAGUUAAAUCUAGCACUAAACAUAACAACCUAAUCAAGAUCUCUAUCUCUAGCUAUUAUACAAUUUUUUAAUUUAUCGAAUUUUU
This 926-nucleotide long non-coding RNA is filed under the name Eucalyptus grandis. RNAcentral describes it as "long non-coding RNA (EGRA_LNC001534)". Lineage: Eukaryota; Viridiplantae; Streptophyta; Magnoliopsida; Myrtales; Myrtaceae. The record is from RNAcentral.